UACGGAGGGUGCAAGCGUUAAUCGGAAUGACUGGGCGUAAAGGGUGCGUAGGUGGUUUGAUAAGUUAAGUGUGAAAUGUCCGGGCUUAACCUGGAGUGGUCAUUUAAAACUGUCGAGCUUGAGUAUAGGAGAGGGUAGUGGAAUUUCCGGUGUAGCGGUGAAAUGCGUAGAGAUCGGAAGGAACACCAGUGGCGAAGGCGUCUACCUGGCCUAAUACUGACACUGAGUCACGAAAGCAUGGGUAGCAAACAGG
This 253-nucleotide unclassified non-coding RNA is filed under the name uncultured Legionellaceae bacterium. RNAcentral's name for it is "contains 16S-23S intergenic spacer region". It matches the Rfam family "Bacterial small subunit ribosomal RNA", at positions 524 to 776 of the family's 1533-position model. The record is from RNAcentral. Lineage: Bacteria; Pseudomonadati; Pseudomonadota; Gammaproteobacteria; Legionellales; Legionellaceae.